This 1450-nucleotide long non-coding RNA is filed under the name Triticum aestivum (bread wheat). RNAcentral's name for it is "long non-coding RNA (TAES_LNC023656)". The record is from RNAcentral. Lineage: Eukaryota; Viridiplantae; Streptophyta; Magnoliopsida; Poales; Poaceae.
AGGGAACAAUUGCUAUUCCAUUACAGAGACAUCAGGCCGGCUCGGCCCUGGAUCGGGGCGCUCCUCCGAUCUGGCGGCCGGUGAGCCGGGGUUCGCCGGAUCCGCCCGGAUCUGGCCGGCGUGGCCCUGCCUCGUCCUGCCCGGCUUGGGUCGCGGUGUGGUGCUCCCUGGUGGCGGCGGUAUGGGUCUUUCUCCAUGGUUCGACGGGAUGUGUGCGGUGGGUGGAUGCCGGGGCAGCGGCCUCGGGUGGUGUGGAUGGCGUUGCCUCUGCGGGCGACGGCCGUGGGUGCUGGUGGUCCGCGACUUCGGCCGCGCGGGCGGCGAGGUCUCGGUGGACGUCUACUACAGUGGGUCGGGGUGCCCCGUCACUCGGCGUGCCUGCUUCGAUGAAGUCGAACGCCUUCUUCAGCUGCGUGCGCUCCUCUGGCCAGGUCUUUGGCCGAGUGGAUGGGAUGGGGGCGGGACCGGGGGAAACCCUUGGCCGUCGGCGGAGGCCACGACAAUGGCGACGCCUUUGCUGGGCGUCGGUUCCCUUCUUGGAGGCCUUGUCGAGGUCCUCUCCCAUCUUUCACUGUGCUCUUCUUUUGGGCGAAAGCUCUAGUUCCCCUUGUGGGCGAUGGCGUCGUACCCUCGUCGUGCUCCUUCUUGAAGGCGUCGCCUCGGGUUCCCGGAAUCACGGUGGGCGCUUUGCGGUGCGUGUGAGGUGUUUGGCGGCGGCAAUGUGUGCAACGUUUCAUCUAUUCUACCGCCGGUCUUCAUCUUGUGGUAGCGCUCCUUCGGCUUGGAGAUGGACUGGCAUAGGUGGUGGUCGUCAUUUGGCGUCAUGGUGGCGUCGAUGGCGGAGGAACCUGCCAAGGUUGGUACCUCAAUCUGCUCUAAAGAUGGACAAGUGGAAGAUGGUGGCGACGACACAUGUGAGUGCGUCGGACUGGAUUGUGCCCCGGACCCGGUAUGUGGCUCGGUCGGGGCUUCCAGUUUUAGAUGUUAGGCUUAGGUGAGAGGCCUGGGUAUAUGGCCCAGCUUGCACCCCUUCUUCAUAUGGAUAGGAGUAGCGGCAUAUGUUGCCAAGAUGGCGGAUUCAGGCAUAUUAUUGUACUACUUUGUAAGGUCCUCGAGAAUAAUCAAUAAAAUGGCCGCAUGCAUCUCCCCGAUGCAGAGGCCGGGGGUCAUCCUCCUUUUCUAAAAAAAAAUUACAGAGACCUGCUGGUUAAAUCCCCAGCUACAGAGUUCAUUACAAGUUCAGGAAACUGGCCUAACCAGAUUUCAUACAUGCCAUCUCCUAAGCUAGCUCCAUGUGCUGCUAAGACAUGCGCUGCAUUGUUACAAGACCUAGGGCAUACAUAAAGUUUUACAUUCUCAAAAGCGACCCUCAGUUGAAAUUUUAUCUCUUGGAACAAGGCUCCGAGUGGCGCUGGGUCAUAGUCCUCACUUGAAAUUGCUUGCUUCAGCA